Pantherophis guttatus is the source of this 1027-nucleotide non-coding RNA. Lineage: Eukaryota; Metazoa; Chordata; Lepidosauria; Squamata; Colubridae. The record is from RefSeq and is a predicted model, not a curated record.
AAUUCUUAAAAGUAUUACAUUUAAGGCCAAAAUUAGCUUAAAAACCCCCCAAAAAAUUAAGAACACCAAAUUUAAAACUCAAUUAUGAAGCUAGUCCUGCCUGUCAGAAAAGCAGAGUCUUAAGAGCACAGCGGAAAACUCGAAGGUCAGAGAUCUUGCGUUUGAGAGUAAGCCCCACUCCCAAGAGUAGGACAACCAAUUACUGUGGGUUACAAUCCUCAAUAUGGGUAGGGCUCAUCCUGGGAGAAGGUGGGGAGGAAGCUGUAGAUCUGGCCUUUUCAAUUUCUCACAUUCUGCCGGAGGCUUUCAAUCUCAUCAUAAUCUGGUCUUUUUCUAGCCAGGUGGAUCUGAAGCUGACGAAAUGCUUUCCCUUUAUCGCAUCUGCAAAACAAACACAAAACUAUUUGUAAAGCAAAUGUUUUCCCUCUGGAAGUAGAUAUUUUUAUACAACUUUCACUCAGAAUAUUUUUUUAAAAAAAAAUUUGCACAAGGGGCAGUCUAGGUUUUUAAUUUAAAUUGGAGGAGCAGAUUCCUUGCUGGCCUCAGAGAGAGGUGCUGCUCCUUCUCCUUCCUCCCUACCAAGAGUUUCCUGGGUCUCCCCCAAAGCCAGGAUGAAAGUCUUCUUCAGCUUGAUCAUCUUCUCUCUCAUGUUGGCUACAUGUCAAGGAGCGUGCUUGAGAAUUCCCUUUCAAGCUGAAUUUGAAAAUGGUAAACCAGUGCGGCCAAACACAUGCCUUGAUAGACUUGAUGGGAGAAAGCAUCUCAUUGGGUCCACUUGGAACACAGCUAAUUGUUUGAGAUGCAGCUGCAGCAAAUAUGGAUUGGGUUGCUGCCAAAGAUUUGUUGGUUGUUAGCGUUGUUGAAGGGUGCAAAACAGUGGCAAAUCACGUGACAUGUGAACAUGAAUUCUAUAGACUUGAUGACCCAACGCAGCGCUGUGAUGUCUGAUCUCUUCGCGUGGACGAACUAGAAUAAAUCUCUCAUGUGUAAAUGAACCUGAAUAAAUCUCUCAAAUCAGCAUCUAAAA